RNAcentral lists this small RNA (717 nucleotides) under Pan troglodytes (chimpanzee). RNAcentral describes it as "processed transcript". Lineage: Eukaryota; Metazoa; Chordata; Mammalia; Primates; Hominidae. The record is from RNAcentral.
GCGGCGGCGCGGUUGCGAUUCCGAGCCGUUGAGACGCCUCUGCGGCAGCUGGUGGCGCAGGUGGCUUGCGUGGACGCGGGUAGAGGCGACCGGCCAGCAACCGCAGCGUCGGCGCCCGCGGCCCCGGCAGCAGGCGCGUCGGGACGCCCCGAGGCAUCCUCCCCCGCCCGCGGGCCCGGUAGCUGGGCCCGCAUCCCCGCGCCGCCGCAUCUCCUCGCCGCCUCCCGGGCUUCGGACCCCCGGUCUCGCCCCCGAAACAUGACUCGCGAUUUCAAACCUGGAGACCUCAUCUUCGCCAAGAUGAAAGGUUAUCCCCAUUGGCCAGCUCGAGUAGACGAAGUUCCUGAUGGAGCUGUAAAGCCACCCACAAACAAACUACCCAUUUUCUUUUUUGGAACUCAUGAGACUGCUUUUUUAGGACCAAAGGAUAUAUUUCCUUACUCAGAAAAUAAGGAAAAGUAUGGCAAACCAAAUAAAAGAAAAGGUUUUAAUGAAGGUUUAUGGGAGAUAGAUAACAAUCCAAAAGUGAAAUUUUCAAGUCAACAGAGACAGGGUUUUGUCAUGUUGGCCAGACUGGUCUCAAACUCCUGACUUCAGGUGAUCCACCCACCUCAGCCUCCCAAAAUGCUGGGAUUACAGAUGUGAGCCAUUGCGCGCAGCCUUUAAUUUCUAAAUCCAUAGAAUUGUAUUGGAAUAUGAACCUCAUGAGUUAAAUUA